CUGAUUAUGUGUUUAGACCAGUUUAUUUGUGUAAUGUUAAACACUGUUUCAAAUUGAUUUCUAAUAAUAAGCAUAUUAGUUAUUCUACUAUAAAUGAUAGUUUUAAGAAGAAGUUCAGUCUAUUGGGUUAUGUUUCUUCUAAAUAUGGACUUCAUUCUUUUCGUGCUGGUGGAGCAUCUAUAAGUGCCAAUAAUAAGACUGUGGAUAGACUUUGGCAAGGACAUGGUAGAUGAAAAAGUGUUUCCACUAAGGACGGAUAUGUUAAAGAUUCUUUGAAAGACAGAUUAUCGGUGUCGCUAAAUUUAGAUUUGUGAAAAGUCAUUAUUAAUGUAUGUGUGAUUUGAAAUGUAUGAUGUGUUGUUCGUAGCACAUUUAAAGACACUAUACUACAUUAUUAUAUAAAUGGUUUGGAAAUGCUUUUGAGUAUUAUUAAGUUCUGUGUUUGUGUUGUGAGUAUGUUCCUUGUGGUCAUUGGACCAAUUUGUUUACGGCCAUUUGGCCUCAUUUGGUAAGCCAGUUGGCUUGUAUGGUCAGUUGACCGUUUUUUAAAGCAAGUUGAUCUGAUGUGUGUUCACAUGGAAUUAACAAUCUUUGCAAGUUUAUUUUUUGCAGUGCAGUAACUGGACAGUACGAAUGGUAUAUUAAGUAUUGGAGAACAUAAAGUUAAAACACAGUUCGAGAGGUAUAUAACGUGGUGGAGAAUAUUUGGGUAUUCAUUUUAUGUUUCAUAUUAUUUGUAUUCUCUCUUUGUUUUAUUCGAAAGUCCUGUCAAAUACAAGCACUCACUCCUA
Long non-coding RNA from Dreissena polymorpha, 791 nucleotides. RefSeq lists it as uncharacterized. The transcript is spliced from 2 exons. The record is from RefSeq and is a predicted model, not a curated record. NCBI's taxonomy places the organism in Eukaryota, Metazoa, Mollusca, Bivalvia, Myida, Dreissenidae.